Molecule: ribosomal RNA, 305 nt
Filed under: uncultured bacterium
Lineage: Bacteria
Description: bacterial SSU rRNA
Rfam family: Bacterial small subunit ribosomal RNA
Source: RNAcentral
UGCCCUACGGGGCGCAGCAGUGGGGAAUAUUGCACAAUGGGGGAAACCCUGAUGCAGCGACGCCGCGUGAAGGAAGAAGUAUUUCGGUAUGUAAACUUCUAUCAGCAGGGAAGAAAAUGACGGUACCUGACUAAGAAGCCCCGGCUAACUACGUGCCAGCAGCCGCGGUAAUACGUAGGGGGCAAGCGUUAUCCGGAUUUACUGGGUGUAAAGGGGGCGCAGACGGCAAUGCAAGCCAGGAGUGAAAGCCCGGGGCCCAACCCCGGGACUGCUCUUGGAACUGCAUGGCUGGAGUACAGGAGGGG